Long non-coding RNA from Oncorhynchus keta (chum salmon), 4388 nucleotides. RefSeq lists it as uncharacterized. NCBI's taxonomy places the organism in Eukaryota, Metazoa, Chordata, Actinopteri, Salmoniformes, Salmonidae. The transcript is spliced from 4 exons. The record is from RefSeq and is a predicted model, not a curated record.
CAUUACCAUUGUCAAAUUAGACAGUUGUGUUUAACAUGACAGUUGUCAAAUUAGACAGUUGUGUUUAACAUGACAGUUGUCAAAUUAGACAGUUGUGUUUAACAUGACAGUUGUCAAAUUAGACAGUUGUGUUUUACAUUACCAUUGUCAAAUUAGACAGUUGUGUUUAACAUGACCAUUGUCAAAUUAGACAGUUGUGUUUUACAUGACCAUUGUCAAAUUAGACAGUUGUGUUUAACAUGACAGUUGUCAAAUUAGACAGUUGUGUUUAACAUGACAGGUGUCAAAUUAGACAGUUGUGUUUAACAUGACAGUUGUCAAAUUAGACAGUUGUGUUUAACAUGACAGUUGUCAAAUUAGACAGUUGUGUUUAACAUGACAGGUGUCAAAUUAGACAGUUGUGUUUAACAUGACAGUUGUCAAAUUAGACAGUUGUGUUUAACAUGACAGUUGUCAAAUUAGACAGUUGUGUUUAACAUGACAGUUGUCAAAUUAGACAGUUGUGUUUUACAUGACCAUUGUCAAAUUAGACAGUUGUGUUUUACAUGGUGACAAUAGGCCCAUGUAUAUGACAACAGUGGUGGUCCCGGGGUUCUAGGAAGUAUAUCUCUGUCUGUGUGGUGACAAUAGGCCCAUGUAUAUGAUGACAGUGGUGGUCCCGGGGUUCUAGGAAGUAUAUCUCUGUCUGUGUGGUGACAAUAGGCCCAUGUAUAUGAUGACAGUGGUGGUCCCGGGGUUCUAGGAAGUAUAUCUCUGUCUGUGUGGUGACAAUAGGCCCAUGUAUAUGACAACAGUGGUGGUCCCGGGGUUCUAGGAAGUAUAUCUCUGUCUGUGUGGUGACAAUAGGCCCAUGUAUAUGACAACAGUGGUGGUCCCGGGGUUCUAGGAAGUGUAUCUCUGUCCGUGUGGUGACAAUAGGCCCAUGUAUAUGACAACAGUGGUGGUCCCGGGGUUCUAGGAAGUAUAUCUCUGUCUGUGUGGUGACAAUAGGCCCAUGUAUAUGAUGACAGUGGUGGUCCCGGGGUUCUAGGAAGUAUAUCUCUGUCUGUGUGGUGACAAUAGGCCCAUGUAUAUGACAACAGUGGUGGUCCCGGGGUUCUAGGAAGUAUAUCUCUGUCUGUGUGGUGACAAUAGGCCCAUGUAUAUGACAACAGUGGUGGUCCCGGGGUUCUAGGAAGUAUAUCUCUGUCUGUGUGGUGACAAUAGGCCCAUGUAUAUGACGACAGUGGUGGUCCCGGGGUUCUAGGAAGUAUAUCUCUGUCUGUGUGGUGACAAUAGGCCCAUGUAUAUGAUGACAGUGGUGGUCCCGGGGUUCUAGGAAGUAUAUCUCUGUCUGUGUGGUGACAAUAGGCCCAUGUAUAUGAUGACAGUGGUGGUCCCGGGGUUCUAGGAAGUAUAUCUCUGUCUGUGUGGUGACAAUAGGCCCAUGUAUAUGACGACAGUGGUGGUCCCGGGGUUCUAGGAAGUGUAUCUCUGUCUGUGUGGUGACAAUAGGCCCAUGUAUAUGACAACAGUGGUGGUCCCGGGGUUCUAGGAAGUAUAUCUCUGUCUGUGUGGUGACAAUAGGCCCAUGUAUAUGACAACAGUGGUGGUCCCGGGGUUCUAGGAAGUAUAUCUCUGUCUGUGUGGUGACAAUAGGCCCAUGUAUAUGACAACAGUGGUGGUCCCGGGGUUCUAGGAAGUGUAUCUCUGUCUGUGUGGUGACAAUAGGCCCAUGUAUAUGACAACAGUGGAGGUCCCGGGGUUCUAGGUAGUGUAUCUCUGUCUGUGUGGUGACAAUAGGCCCAUGUAUAUGAUGACAGUGGUGGUCCCGGGGUUCUAGGAAGUGUAUCUCUGUCUGUGUGGUGACAAUAGGCCCAUGUAUAUGACAACAGUGGUGGUCCCGGGGUUCUAGGAAGUAUAUCUCUGUCUGUGUGGUGACAAUAGGCCCAUGUAUAUGACAACAGUGGUGGUCCCGGGGUUCUAGGUAGUAUAUCUCUGUCUGUGUGGUGACAAUAGGCCCAUGUAUAUGACAACAGUGGUGGUCCCGGGGUUCUAGGUAGUAUAUCUCUGUCUGUGUGGUGACAAUAGGCCCAUGUAUAUGACAACAGUGGUGGUCCCGGGGUUCUAGGUAGUGUAUCUCUGUCUGUGUGGUGACAGUAGGCCCAUGUAUAUGACAACAGUGGUGGUCCCGGGGUUCUAGGAAGUGUAUCUCUGUCUGUGUGGUGACAAUAGGCCCAUGUAUUCCUUGCGUUCAGGGCUGAGUUGUAUCGGGUGACAGACAGACUCCUUAAACAAACCAUACACAUAUUUGGUUCCUUAAUAUUUUGUCUUUUUAUUUUGGACCUGGUUCAGUGACAUUCAAGCUUUGGAGGACAUGGCCUUCCCAGUCACACGAGCACAAGAGAGCACAGAUACAUUCUCCCACCACAAACGUAAUGAAAAAGAGCACAGGACACAUUUUGUAAGAGCUCCUGUUACUGUCGCACAUGGUCUUCGAACUGCAGUUGAAAACAAAGUGUGUAAGUUUAACACCGUAGCUUAUUAAACAAUGACCUUAAUGUAAAACAAAAGACUCAGCAAUGUUUUUAGAUGGAAAAGAGAGAGAGAGAGAGAAAGUGGUACAACACCGUGUUACUAUAGCGACAGCAGAGUGACGGUGGGCUUGGUUAAUUGUCGGAGUAGUGUAAGCUCUUGGACAUGACCCUGCCCGCCUCCACCUGAAUUCUGAUCAGCAGACGCUUCCUGGGGCUGGUUGUGGGGCCACCGGCAUCUAAUGAGAGGGGCUUCAGAGUCAGGUGGGGCUUCGAUGGCAAAUCAAUGUCUGCGUGUAAGCAAGGACUGGGAUUGGUCGGUUUGUUUUAGUAAUCUGAGCAAAAGAGAUAUGAUUUGAUUUUAGUUGGACACACAGAUCAUGACACAACACAGGUCACAGUUCCUUCCUAUCGCAUCUUUCUCUUCUUACUCACCCUUCUACACAUUUACUGAGGAUGGGAAAGAACUACUCGGCAGUGGUGUGAAGUACUUAAGUAAAAAUACUUCUAAGUACUACUUAAUUAGUUGUUUGGGGUAUCUGUACUAUUUCAUUUUUUUGACAACUUUUACAUUUACUCAACUACAUUCCUAAAGAAAAUAAUGUACUUUUUACUCCUUACAUUUACCUUGACACCCAAAAGUACUUGUUACGUGUUUAAUGCUUCGCAGGACAGGAAAAUGGUCUAAUUCACGGACUUAACAAGAGGACAUCCCUGGUCAUCCCUACUGCCUCUGAUCUGGAGGACUCACUAAACAGAGAACAUCCCUGGUCAUCCCUACUGCCUCUGAUCUGGAGGACUCACUAAACAGAGAACAUCCCUGGUCAUCCCUACUGCCUCUGAUCUGGAGGACUCACUAAACAGAGAACAUCCCUGGUCAUCCCUACUGCCUCUGAUCUGGAGGACUCACUAAACAGAGAACAUCCCUGGUCAUCCCUACUGCCUCUGAUCUGGAGGACUCACUAAACAGAGAACAUCCCUGGUCAUCCCUACUGCCUCUGAUCUGGAGGACUCACUAAACAGAGAACAUCCCUGGUCAUCCCUACUGCCUCUGAUCUGGCGGACUCACUAAACAGAGAACAUCCCUGGUCAUCCCUACUGCCUCUGAUCUGGAGGACUCACUAAACAGAGAACAUCCCUGGUCAUCCCUACUGCCUCUGAUCUGGAGGACUCACUAAACAGAGAACAUCCCUGGUCAUCCCUACUGCCUCUGAUCUGGAGGACUCACUAAACAGAGAACAUCCCUGGUCAUCCCUACUGCCUCUGAUCUGGAGGACUCACUAAACAGAGAACAUCCCUGGUCAUCCCUACUGCCUCUGAUCUGGAGGACUCACUAAACAGAGAACAUCCCUGGUCAUCCCUACUGCCUCUGAUCUGGAGGACUCACUAAACAGAGAACAUCCCUGGUCAUCCCUACUGCCUCUGAUCUGGAGGACUCACUAAACAGAGAACAUCCCUGGUCAUCCCUACUGCCUCUGAUCUGGAGGACUCACUAAACAGAGAACAUCCCUGGUCAUCCCUACUGCCUCUGAUCUGGCGGACUCACUAAACAGAGAACAUCCCUGGUCAUCCCUACUGCCUCUGAUCUGGAGGACUCACUAAACAGAGAACAUCCCUGGUCAUCCCUACUGCCUCUGAUCUGGAGGACUCACUAAACAGAGAACAUCCCUGGUCAUCCCUACUGCCUCUGAUCUGGAGGACUCACUAAACAGAGAACAUCCCUGGUCAUCCCUACUGCCUCUGAUCUGGAGGACUCACUAAACAGAGAACAUCCCUGGUCAUCCCUACUGCCUCUGAUCUGGAGGACUCACUAAACAGAGAACAUCCCUGGUCAUCCCUACUGCCUCUGAUCUGGAGGACUCACUAAGCAGAGAA